UACGAAGGGGGCUAGCGUUGCUCGGAAUUACUGGGCGUAAAGGGCGCGUAGGCGGAUAUCUAAGUUGGGGGUGAAAGCCCGGGGCUCAACCUCGGAAUUGCCUUUGAUACUGGAUAUCUUGAGUUCGGGAGAGGUGAGUGGAAUGCCGAGUGUAGAGGUGAAAUUCGUAGAUAUCGGGUGGAACACCUGUGGCGAAGGCGGCCAUCUGGACGUCAACUGACGCUGAGACGCGAAAGCGUGGGUAGCAAACAGG
Molecule: ribosomal RNA, 253 nt
Filed under: uncultured bacterium
Lineage: Bacteria
Description: partial 16S ribosomal RNA
Rfam family: Bacterial small subunit ribosomal RNA
Source: RNAcentral